GAGCUUAUGGGGGUGACCCCUCAGCCAUGGGGUGGCUGAUGGGCAGGGCCUGAGGUCCAAAGUCUCCCUUCCCACUUGCCCCCCUCAUACACAUGACCCCACUGGGGGUGAAGGCAAAUCCUAGCAUUUUCUGAGCUGGCCUUUGGGAUGGGCUGUCAUCACAUAUCUGGGAUGCAGGCCCUUCCCAUGAGCGCUAGUCACUGGGGCUCGGGUUCCUGCAGCUAGGUGUGCUGCUCCUGGAGUGAAGUGGCCACUGUAGGCCUCUGUGGGUGUCUGCCCCACUCAUGAUGUUCCCUUGUCUGGGAACUGCCUCUCCCAUCCACAGAGGUGAGCCUCAAGGAGUCACCUGUGUUCUGUGGGACCUUGGAUUAGUCAGGGUCCCCCAGAGAAACGGAGCCGAGAGAAGAGUAGGAUGUGCAUUAAUUGGCUCAUGUGAUUACAGAGGCUGACAAGUUCUAAGGCCUGCAGCCAGCGAGCUGGAGACCCAGGAGAACUGACCAGUUCUUGACAUCAUUUCUCACACAGGCCUUUGUUGGAGUCCAAAGGCCUGAGCCCAGAAGGCCCAAUGGUGUAGCUCCUGUUCCAAGGCCAGCAGGCUCCCAACCCAGGAAGAACCAGUGUCCCUGUUCAAAGGUACUCAGGCAGGGGGAGAGUUCCCUCUUGCCCUCAGAAGGUCAGCCUUUUUGUUCUACCCAAGAC
This 699-nucleotide long non-coding RNA is filed under the name Homo sapiens (human). RNAcentral describes it as "HSALNT0037762". The record is from RNAcentral. Lineage: Eukaryota; Metazoa; Chordata; Mammalia; Primates; Hominidae.